Molecule: ribosomal RNA, 433 nt
Filed under: uncultured bacterium
Lineage: Bacteria
Description: partial 16S ribosomal RNA
Rfam family: Bacterial small subunit ribosomal RNA
Source: RNAcentral
AACGAACGCUGGCGGCAUGCCUAACACAUGCAAGUCGAACGAGACCUUCGGGUCUAGUGGCGCACGGGUGCGUAACGCGUGGGAACCUGCCCUUAGGUUCGGAAUAACUCCCCGAAAGGGGUGCUAAUACCGGAUAAUGUCUUCGGACCAAAGAUUUAUCGACUUUGGAUGGGCCCGCGUUGGAUUAGCUAGUUGGUAGGGUAAAAGCCUACCAAGGCGACGAUCCAUAGCUGGUCUGAGAGGAUGAUCAGCCACACUGGGACUGAGACACGGCCCAGGCUCCUACGGGAGGCAGCAGUGGGGAAUAUUGGACAAUGGGCGAAAGCCUGAUCCAGCAAUGCCGCGUGAGUGAUGAAGGCCUUAGGGUUGUAAAGCUCUUUUACCCGGGAUGAUAAUGACAGUACCGGGAGAAUAAGCUCCGGCUAACUCCGUG